RNAcentral lists this ribosomal RNA (650 nucleotides) under uncultured marine bacterium. Its description in RNAcentral is "bacterial SSU rRNA". It matches the Rfam family "Bacterial small subunit ribosomal RNA", at positions 81 to 728 of the family's 1533-position model. The record is from RNAcentral.
UACCCGCUGACGAGCGGCGGACGGGUGAGUAACGCGUGAGAAUCUGCCCAUCAGUGGGGGAUAACCCGGGGAAACUCGGGCUAAUACCGCAUACGUCCUACGGGACAAAGCAGGGGACCUUUUGGCCUUGCGCUGAUGGAUGAGCUCGCGUCGGAUUAGCUUGUUGGUGAGGUAAAGGCUCACCAAGGCGACGAUCCGUAGCUGGUCUGAGAGGAUGAUCAGCCACACCGGGACUGAGACACGGCCCGGACUCCUACGGGAGGCAGCAGUGGGGAAUCUUGGACAAUGGGGGCAACCCUGAUCCAGCCAUGCCGCGUGUGUGAAGAAGGCCUUCGGGUUGUAAAGCACUUUCAGUAGGGAGGAAGGCUUCCGGUUAAUACCCGGGAGUACUUGACGUUACCUACAGAAGAAGCACCGGCUAAUUUCGUGCCAGCAGCCGCGGUAAUACGAAAGGUGCAAGCGUUAAUCGGAAUUACUGGGCGUAAAGCGCGCGUAGGCGGUGUGUUAAGUCGGAUGUGAAAGCCCAGGGCUCAACCUUGGAAUUGCAUCCGAUACUGGCACGCUAGAGUGCAGUAGAGGGAGGUGGAAUUUCCGGUGUAGCGGUGAAAUGCGUAGAGAUCGGAAGGAACACCAGUGGCGAAGGCGGCCUC